GUUCUGGGUCUGGGACAGGUUGAAUGUUGAUGGUCUGCUCUCCCAGGGAGAGGGCCCAGUGAUGCACGAGCUCAUGCCUCAGAGUCUUACUUUUAAGAAGAUGGGAUAUGGUCUCUGGAGCUGGGGGCAGAAUCAUCCCAUUCCACCCCAUGGAAGAUCUUGAAGAACAAAAGCAAAGUGUCAGCAAUGUGGAAGAACCUGUUCCACUGAAAGCAAUGAGGUGAUGGAUUUGUGAAGAGCCUGUAUCAGAAAUGGACAAACUUCUAAUAACCUGGACUGAAAACCAGAGACCAUGAUGACCACAGUAGAUCUGAGAA
This is a long non-coding RNA of Dipodomys spectabilis (banner-tailed kangaroo rat), 317 nucleotides long. RefSeq lists it as uncharacterized. The transcript has 3 exons. NCBI's taxonomy places the organism in Eukaryota, Metazoa, Chordata, Mammalia, Rodentia, Heteromyidae. The record is from RefSeq and is a predicted model, not a curated record.